This 365-nucleotide unclassified non-coding RNA is filed under the name soil metagenome. Its description in RNAcentral is "partial contains 5.8S ribosomal RNA, internal transcribed spacer 2, and large subunit ribosomal RNA". The stretch from base 1 to 120 matches the Rfam family "5.8S ribosomal RNA", at positions 35 to 154 of the family's 154-position model. The record is from RNAcentral.
GAUGAAGAACGUAGCGAAAUGCGAUAAGUAAUGUGAAUUGCAGAAUUCAGUGAAUCAUCGAAUCUUUGAACGCACAUUGCGCCCGCCAGCAUUCUGGCGGGCAUGCCUGUUCGAGCGUCAUUUCAACCCUCGCAGCCCAUCUGGGCAGCGGUGUUGGGGACCGGCACCACCGGCGAAGCCCUUAGGGGCCCAGCCGGCGCCGCCCCCGAAAUACAGUGGCGGUCUCGCUGCAGCCUCCCUUGCGUGGUAGCACACCUCGCACCGGAGCGCAGCGCGGCCACGCCGUAAAACCCCCGACUUUCUGAGUUUGACCUCGAAUCAGGUAGGAAUACCCGCUGAACUUAAGCAUAUCAAUAAGCGGAGGA